CGUAAUCAUUUGUCUUUUAAAUGAAGACCAGUAUGAAUGGCAUAACGAGGGCCAAGCUGUCUCCUUUUUCCAGUCAAUGAAAUUGAUCCCCCUGUGCAGAAGCAGGGACACAAACAUAAGACGAGAAGACCCUAUGGAGCUUAAGACACAAGACAGUUCAUGUUAAAAAACCAUAUUAAUGGAAAGAACCAAAUGGCCCCUGUCCUUUUGUCUUUGGUUGGGGCGACCAUGGAGUAACAAAAAACCCCCACGUGGAACAGGGCCCAGGCCCUUAAAGCUAGAGCCACAGCUCUAACAAACAGAACAUCUGACCUUCAAGAUCCGGCAAGACCGAUCAACGGACCGAGUUACCCUAGGGAUAACAGCGCAAUCCCCUUUUAGAGCCCAUAUCGACAAGGGGGUUUACGACCUCGAUGUUGGAUCAGGACACCCUAAUGGUGCAGCCGCUAUUAAGGGUUC
This 459-nucleotide ribosomal RNA is filed under the name Periophthalmus argentilineatus (barred mudskipper). RNAcentral describes it as "partial 16S ribosomal RNA". It matches the Rfam family "Bacterial large subunit ribosomal RNA", at positions 1960 to 2574 of the family's 2925-position model. The record is from RNAcentral. Lineage: Eukaryota; Metazoa; Chordata; Actinopteri; Gobiiformes; Gobiidae.